RNAcentral lists this ribosomal RNA (502 nucleotides) under uncultured bacterium. RNAcentral's name for it is "partial 16S ribosomal RNA". It matches the Rfam family "Bacterial small subunit ribosomal RNA", at positions 29 to 523 of the family's 1533-position model. The record is from RNAcentral.
AUUGAACGCUAGCGGCAUGCCUUACACAUGCAAGUCGAACGGCAGCGGGGGAGCUUGCUCCCGCCGGCGAGUGGCGAACGGGUGAGUAAUACAUCGGAACGUACCCAGUAGCGGGGGAUAGCCCGGCGAAAGCCGGAUUAAUACCGCAUACGCCCUACGGGGGAAAGGGGGGGAUCGCAAGACCUCUCACUAUUGGAGCGGCCGAUGGCUGAUUAGCUAGUGGGUGGGGGAAAGGCCUACCAAGGCGACUGUCAGUAGCGGGUCUGAGAGGACGACCAGCCACACUGGGGUUGAGACACGGCCCAGACUCCUACGGGAGGCAGCAGUGGGGAAUUUUGGCCAAUGGGCGAAAGCGUGGUCCAGCAAUGAGGCGUGUGCGAAGAAGGCCUUCGGGUUGUAAAGCACUUUUGUCAGGGAAGAAAUCGUUUGGGUUAAUACCCCGAGCAGUUGACGGUACCUGAAGAAUAAGCACCGGCUAACUACGUGCCAGCCGCCGCCGUAA